UUAAGCGACUAAGCGUACACGGUGGAUGCCCUGGCAGUCAGAGGCGAUGAAGGACGUGCUAAUCUGCGAAAAGCGUCGGUAAGGUGAUAUGAACCGUUACAGCCGGCGAUGUCCGAAUGGGGAAACCCAGUGUGAUUCGUCACACUAUCGUUAACUGAAUACAUAGGUUAACGAGGCGAACCGGGGGAACUGAAACAUCUAAGUACCCCGAGGAAAAGAAAUCAACCGAGAUUCCCCCAGUAGCGGCGAGCGAACGGGGAGCAGCCCAGAGUCUGAAUCAGCUUGUGUGUUAGUGGAACGGUCUGGAAAGUCCGACGGUACAGGGUGAUAGUCCCGUACACCAAAAUGCACAGGUUGUGAACUCGAAGAGUAGGGCGGGACACGUGGUAUCCUGUCUGAAUAUGGGGGGACCAUCCUCCAAGGCUAAAUACUCCUGACUGACCGAUAGUGAACCAGUACCGUGAGGGAAAGGCGAAAAGAACCCCGGCGAGGGGAGUGAAAAAGAACCUGAAACCGUGUACGUACAAGCAGUGGGAGCACCUUCGGGUGUGACUGCGUACCUUUUGUAUAAUGGGUCAGCGACUUAUAUUCUGUAGCAAGGUUAACCGUAUAGGGGAGCCGCAGGGAAACCGAGUCUUAACUGGGCGUUAAGUUGCAGGGUAUAGACCCGAAACCCGGUGAUCUAGCCAUGGGCAGGUUGAAGGUUGGGUAACACUAACUGGAGGACCGAACCGACUAAUGUUGAAAAAUUAGCGGAUGACUUGUGGCUGGGGGUGAAAGGCCAAUCAAACCGGGAGAUAGCUGGUUCUCCCCGAAAGCUAUUUAGGUAGCGCCUCGUGAAUUCAUCUUCGGGGGUAGAGCACUGUUUCGGCUAGGGGGUCAUCCCGACUUACCAACCCGAUGCAAACUACGAAUACCGAAGAAUGUUAUCACGGGAGACACACGGCGGGUGCUAACGUCCGUCGUGAAGAGGGAAACAACCCAGACCGCCAGCUAAGGUCCCAAAGUCAUGGUUAAGUGGGAAACGAUGUGGGAAGGCACAGACAGCCAGGAUGUUGGCUUAGAAGCAGCCAUCAUUUAAAGAAAGCGUAAUAGCUCACUGGUCGAGUCGGCCUGCGCGGAAGAUGUAACGGGGCUAAACCAUGCACCGAAGCUGCGGCAGCGACACUAUGUGUUGUUGGGUAGGGGAGCGUUCUGUAAGCCUGCGAAGGUGACCUGUGAGGGUUGCUGGAGGUAUCAGAAGUGCGAAUGCUGACAUAAGUAACGAUAAAGCGGGUGAAAAGCCCGCUCGCCGGAAGACCAAGGGUUCCUGUCCAACGUUAAUCGGGGCAGGGUGAGUCGACCCCUAAGGCGAGGCCGAAAGGCGUAGUCGAUGGGAAACAGGUUAAUAUUCCUGUACUUGGUGUUACUGCGAAGGGGGGACGGAGAAGGCUAUGUUAGCCGGGCGACGGUUGUCCCGGUUUAAGCAUGUAGGCUGAUUGUCCAGGCAAAUCCGGAUAAUCAAGGCUGAGGUGUGAUGACGAGGCACUACGGUGCUGAAGUAACAAAUGCCCUGCUUCCAGGAAAAGCCUCUAAGCAUCAGGUAACAUUAAAUCGUACCCCAAACCGACACAGGUGGUCAGGUAGAGAAUACCAAGGCGCUUGAGAGAACUCGGGUGAAGGAACUAGGCAAAAUGGUGCCGUAACUUCGGGAGAAGGCACGCUGGUGUGUAGGUGAAGCCCCUGCGGGUGGAGCUGAGACCAGUCGAAGAUACCAGCUGGCUGCAACUGUUUAUUAAAAACACAGCACUGUGCAAACACGAAAGUGGACGUAUACGGUGUGACGCCUGCCCGGUGCCGGAAGGUUAAUUGAUGGGGUUAUCCGUAAGGAGAAGCUCUUGAUCGAAGCCCCGGUAAACGGCGGCCGUAACUAUAACGGUCCUAAGGUAGCGAAAUUCCUUGUCGGGUAAGUUCCGACCUGCACGAAUGGCGUAAUGAUGGCCAGGCUGUCUCCACCCGAGACUCAGUGAAAUUGAACUCGCUGUGAAGAUGCAGUGUACCCGCGGCAAGACGGAAAGACCCCGUGAACCUUUACUAUAGCUUGACACUGAACAUUGAGCCUUGAUGUGUAGGAUAGGUGGGAGGCUUUGAAGCGUGGACGCCAGUCUGCGUGGAGCCAACCUUGAAAUACCACCCUUUAAUGUUUGAUGUUCUAACGUUGGCCCCUGACCGGGGUUGCGGACAGUGUCUGGUGGGUAGUUUGACUGGGGCGGUCUCCUCCCAAAGCGUAACGGAGGAGCACGAAGGUUAGCUAAUCCUGGUCGGACAUCAGGAGGUUAGUGCAAUGGCAUAAGCUAGCUUGACUGCGAGCGUGACGGCGCGAGCAGGUGCGAAAGCAGGUCAUAGUGAUCCGGUGGUUCUGAAUGGAAGGGCCAUCGCUCAACGGAUAAAAGGUACUCCGGGGAUAACAGGCUGAUACCGCCCAAGAGUUCAUAUCGACGGCGGUGUUUGGCACCUCGAUGUCGGCUCAUCACAUCCUGGGGCUGAAGUAGGUCCCAAGGGUAUGGCUGUUCGCCAUUUAAAGUGGUACGCGAGCUGGGUUUAGAACGUCGUGAGACAGUUCGGUCCCUAUCUGCCGUGGGCGCUGGAGAAUUGAGGGGGGCUGCUCCUAGUACGAGAGGACCGGAGUGGACGCAUCACUGGUGUUCGGGUUGUCAUGCCAAUGGCACUGCCCGGUAGCUAAAUGCGGAAGAGAUAAGUGCUGAAAGCAUCUAAGCACGAAACUUGCCCCGAGAUGAGUUCUCCCUGAGACUUUAAGUCUCCUGAAGGAACGUUGAAGACGACGACGUUGAUAGGCCGGGUGUGUAAGCGCAGCGAUGCGUUGAGCUAACCGGUACUAAUGAACCGUGAGGCUUAACCUU
Molecule: ribosomal RNA, 2900 nt
Filed under: Klebsiella pneumoniae BWH 46
Lineage: Bacteria; Pseudomonadati; Pseudomonadota; Gammaproteobacteria; Enterobacterales; Enterobacteriaceae
Description: bacterial LSU rRNA
Rfam family: Bacterial large subunit ribosomal RNA
Source: RNAcentral